CCUACGGGAGGCAGCAGUGGGGAAUAUUGCACAAUGGGGGAAACCCUGAUGCAGCGACGCCGCGUGGGUGAAGAAGCGCCUCGGCGCGUAAAGCCCUGUCAGCAGGGAAGAAAAUGACGGUACCUGAAGAAGAAGCCCCGUCUAACUACGUGUCAGCAGCCGCGGUAAUACGUAGGGGGCAAGCGUUAUCCGGAUUUACUGGGUGUAAAGGGGGCGCAGACGGCGAUGCAAGCCAGGAGUGAAAGCCCGGGGCCCAACCCCGGGACUGCACUUGGAACUGGGUGGCUAGAGUGCAGGAGGGGCAGGCGGAAUUCGUGGUGUAGCGGGGAAAUGCGUAGAUAUCAGGAGGAACACCGGUGGCGAAGGCGGCCUGCUGGACUGCAACUGACGUUGAGGCCCGAAAGCGUGGGGAGCAAACAGGAUUAGAUACCCGGGUAGUC
This 440-nucleotide ribosomal RNA is filed under the name uncultured bacterium. RNAcentral's name for it is "partial 16S ribosomal RNA". It matches the Rfam family "Bacterial small subunit ribosomal RNA", at positions 338 to 795 of the family's 1533-position model. The record is from RNAcentral.